Molecule: ribosomal RNA, 253 nt
Filed under: uncultured bacterium
Lineage: Bacteria
Description: partial 16S ribosomal RNA
Rfam family: Bacterial small subunit ribosomal RNA
Source: RNAcentral
UACGAAGGGGGCUAGCGUUGUUCGGAAUGACUGGGCGUAAAGGGCGCGUAGGCGGCGCAUCAAGUCGGGCGUGAAAGCCCCGGGCUCAACCUGGGAACUGCGUUCGAGACUGGUGUGCUGGAGUUCGGGAGAGGAGAGUGGAAUUCCCAGUGUAGAGGUGAAAUUCGUAGAUAUUGGGAAGAACACCGAUGGCGAAGGCAGCUCUCUGGACCGAUACUGACGCUGAGGCGCGAAAGCGUGGGGAGCAAACAGG